GUUGAAACAUCGCUUCUCGUACGACCACCGAAGUUAAGCAACGUUGAGCCUGGUCAAUACCAAGAUGAGUGACUGCUUGGGAAUACCAAGGGCUGUAAG
Acanthosepion pharaonis is the source of this 99-nucleotide non-coding RNA. The record is from the annotation of a GenBank genome assembly. Lineage: Eukaryota; Metazoa; Mollusca; Cephalopoda; Sepiida; Sepiidae.